Brassica rapa (field mustard) is the source of this 604-nucleotide long non-coding RNA. RefSeq lists it as uncharacterized. The record is from RefSeq and is a predicted model, not a curated record. Lineage: Eukaryota; Viridiplantae; Streptophyta; Magnoliopsida; Brassicales; Brassicaceae.
UAGCUAUGGUCUUGAGCAUGGCUCUAUAGGUGAGCCUAUAGCACCAUGUUACUUCAUAUUCAGUAAUUCUUUCGUUGAUAGUGGAAAUAACAAUCAGCUUCAAUCCUUAGCAAGAGCACAGAUUCUGCAACGGGAAAACCACCGUCGAUGUCAUCGCCGAGCUUCUUGGCUACGAUGACUUACAUUACACCAUGUAUUGCACAAGCAAGAGGAGAAGACAUCAUGAGAGGAGUAAACUACGCUUCUGCAGCUGCUGGUGUUCGAGAAGAAACCGGCCGUCAGUUGGGAGCUAUAAUAAUAUUUGCAGGGCAAGUGGAAAAUCACGUGAACAUUUGUGUCACAAGUGGUGAACAUACUUAGGAGAGAAUCUGCAUCUGAUGCUCAUCCUUAUGAUUUCAAGCAGCUUCCUAUGCUCUAAUUUAUGAAAUUUACUCCACACAAACGAAGAGACAAAGACAGAGAUUUAAUCUUUGCACUUUUGCUUAUAUAAGUGUUUGAUAGUUCUUGUUUUUUUUUAUGCAGAAGAAUUGUUGUUAUUUUUUUUUGGUGAAGUGAAUGUAACAUUGUUCUAUAUAAUGAUAUGAAAUUGUUCUUAGUUUAGUUU